Molecule: ribosomal RNA, 253 nt
Filed under: uncultured bacterium
Lineage: Bacteria
Description: partial 16S ribosomal RNA
Rfam family: Bacterial small subunit ribosomal RNA
Source: RNAcentral
UACGUAGGGGGCAAGCGUUGUCCGGAAUCAUUGGGCGUAAAGAGCGCGUAGGCGGCCCAGUCAGUCCGCUCUGAAAGUCAGGGGCUCAACCCCUGAAUGCGGGUGGAUACUGCUGGGCUAGAGUCCGGAAGAGGCGAGUGGAAUUCCUGGUGUAGCGGUGAAAUGCGCAGAUAUCAGGAGGAACACCGAUGGCGAAGGCAGCUCGCUGGGACGGUACUGACGCUGAGACGCGAAAGCGUGGGGAGCGAACAGG